GCCGAGGUCCUCUUCCAGGAUUGGCUACCUCCUCAUAACCAUAAGAUAAUUAAAACUUGGCGGGGGGGGGGGGCAGGGUUAAAAAAACUUUUUUUAUCAGUCAGAGGAUAAUGCAAGUGUUUAACAGAUGCUUCACUAUUAAAAUAUUUUCCCCCCAAGUCUCAAAUAUUGAAGAAUCUCUAACCAGGGACACCAGUCCCUACGAAGACCUUGGGCGAUUUUGAAGUGCGGGCACCUCGAUUCCCCGAAUCUGUAGUGUGGCUGGUAUCGGUGUUCCCCUGGUUUAACUAGCCUGUUUGAAGGCACAGAUCAUUCAUGGGGAUGUAUAACCGAAACCAGUCCUCUCCACCGCCUGGGGAUCUUCACUUUCGCAGUCUACGACUGCCUGUGACUCCAGAAAGACAAACUGCAGAUUGGCCAAGCUGCCUGAAGACCCAGCCCGACAGCGAUGCCUGUCAGCCCGCGUCGCCCACCAGGGCAGCUGCUCUCCCAACUCGCAUGGGGGGCACCACCCCGCCUCGGUGCCCUAGAGCUGAGCGCAGCCGCGGCUCCACGGGGAUCGCCAGGGCCUCAGCCCUCGCGGCCGGCGGCGCGGGAGUGUUGCGGGGCAGGGACCAGAGCGCGAUCAGAGCGGCCACCCCCGAUUUAGGUCGCCAGCUUUCCAGUCACUGCGAUGGCCACUGGGGCGCCCCUUCCAUCCUGGUUAAAUUCUCAUUGUGAUCCCCAGCCCUCUUCUCGGUUCCCCACACCCAGGAGGCCGGUUCUCCGCCGCUCAGGCUGGGAGAGGUCACCGCUCCGGGCAGGGUGGACCCCCAGCUCCGUCUCGGAGGACCUUUCGCCGGAGGCGAGCAGGAAGGGGUUAACCAUGAGCCUCCCACCCUCACCUCCCAGACCCUGGUGCCGGGCUAAGGCCUCCGCUUCCCUCCUGAGGUCUCAUUAGGAAACCCUCACCGCUAUUUUCAACAUUUCCUCAAUCAAGUGCCUUUAAAUAGAGCUGCACAAACAGAUUGGCGGCAAAAGCGUAGAUCUUGUCACGAUUGAGACCAAUCCAGUAUUUCAGCCUUGUUUGCUUUGCAAUUACGGGUUGGCUUGUGGCUACGGUGCCACCGGGGCAAAUCUGCAGCCGCUCGCUUUCUCCUCUGCGCUCCGGGCGGGUGGAGGAAGCGACCCGCGGAGUCACUGCAGGGAGGAGAGGGGGACGCGCGCGGGGGGAGGCGGCGGAGGGCGGAGGAGACUCGCUUGCACCCCAGGGCCGCGGGCACGCAGAGCUGUGUUGAAGGACAUACUUUUCAGGUUCCUGACAGUCACUGAGCUAUACGCAAUAAUAAAGUGCGUGAUUCGCGUGUGGAAACCAGUGUCGUGUCCUUACCAGCUUCCUUUUCUGUCCACCUUCCCUCUCUCUUCUACCUCCGUUUCGCUUUUCUUCAGUGCAUGUUAGCGGUUUGCUGGAUUUCCCUUCUCCCUCGCUGUUCAACUGCUAGCAUGAUUUGUUACAUUUUCCACAGCUGUUUAUUCUUGUUUGACUUUUUGUACAAAGUCACUUUAAAUCUGCUGCAGAAAGAAUAAAGCACCUAGCCCUUUGGAUGGACUCCUGCAGGCGUGUGGCUGUCCCUGGCCCACUUUUAAUUCUUUGGAGAUGGCUCUUCUGUGUAAAUCAGCUGCUGGGUGCGUUCGGUCACCUCGUAGGCCAGCCUAGUUUGUAUCAGCAGAACAGUAGUGGACUCGACUCAGGUCGUAAGCCUUAUAUUUCACAGACAAUUAAAUCUUGGCUGCUGUUGAACAAAACUGUAAUAUUUACUUUGUUCUAUACCGAGAAGCACUUUUAAAGUAAAAAAGAAAAAAAAACCAAAUACUACACUUCAAAAAGAAAAUAUGACAAUGAAUCUCUUUUUAUGGAUUCUCUCUGCAUAAGUGGAAACAAUAUGAUUUAAAUCCCCAACACCCCAUCCCCCUUUUCAGACACAGCUGAAGUGAUACAGAUACUGUCUUCUAACACAUAAUCUCCCUCUCUCGGGAGAGGCACCUGCCUGUGCUACAUUCGAUUUAGUUUGUAAGGUUUCAGGCCCCUCCCCGACCCAUGUAAUAUGUAACAAGGAUUAUCAAAUAAUAAGGUCUUGGAUGUGAAGUCUGCUUUACACAAGAAUUCAAGAAAGAUAGGCAGGACUUGAGUAAUUAUGUUACAACUUCAUAUUACUUUCCAAAUGAAUACCCAUUUUCUUCUCAUGUCAACUUCUAGAGAUGGGAUGCUGAGGCAGAGAAAUAUUUUUAUGAGACUCUGGAGUACAUACUAAAAUGUGCUUCCUUAUUAUUUAAGAAUGUGUAAGGUAUGGACCUACAUUUGUUUGCUGGUGGUCAUAAAAUAAAUUCAUAGCCAUUGUGGCCAAUAAGCAAUCUCCUUCACGCUUUAAAAGUUUUUGGUUUAUAAUCCCACCUGGAUUGUAUUUUCACUAUUCUGUAUCACCCUCCUAUUGCAAUAUUUUGGUUCUCAAUCUUAUGUAAAGCAAACCUCAGAAAUGAUCGUUUCCAUAAAAUUGUGCAAUGGCAAAGCCACAGAAUAAUAUUUUGAGUCCAUAUAGCCGUGCAUGCUCAUCUAUAUAGCUCUUAUACAGUUUUCUAGCUGAUUGCUUUGGUAUUUCAAGAAAUAGGAAGCAGUAGCUACCUAUUUUAAUGAAAGGGUACCAUUUCAUAAGAAUUCUAUUUUCACUGAAAAAAUUGGUCUGGCACAUUAUUCAAUGCAAAAGAUUAUAAUAUUACUUUCACGUGUGUUAAUCUGUUUAGUAUAAAACUGCUAGGGUGUCUUAACCAUUAACGCGUUUUGCCACACUACUUUCAAAUGGUGAUCUGAGAUAAUUACGAAGAUUUUGAUGUUAAUCCCACGUUAAAUGAACAACUAUGAAAAUAAUCUUAAAGCAUUAUUACUCCCAUAUACAUGCCAGCAAACCCAAUUGUGGAGAGAACAUGAUUACUUUUUAUCUGACAUUAUCCUAUAAGGAUAUGGCUACAUUUAUUUCUUUUAAAAUUGGAGCAGUUUUCAAUUACUUUUUAACAGAAUUGUUUUCAACACAGCAUUUUGCAGUGCCCAUAAACCAUAGCAACUUUGUCCUGAUCGAUACAUAUUUUUCUGCAUUAUUAUUCAUUAGCCUCUUUGCAAACUCACUAAAAUAGAAUAGUAUUAAAGUAUGAAUAUAUAGAGAACAAUUAUUAGGUUCUACAUAUUUAUUUAGGUAAACCAAUGUUAUUAAAAUUAAAAACAUGUGCCUGGCAUAUAAGUGCUUCUUCAGGAAUUCUUUUUUGGAUGCAUAGUUAUUAUUUUUUAAACAAACUCAGAUUUUCAAACACUGAUUUUCUUCUCUGAACGGGCAUUGCAUUGUUUUAAACAGUAGCUCCUGGAAUAAUGCCACCUUUAGUAUUUUAGACUUUCAAACAACAAUUGGAAUUGGAUAAAUGCUUUCAGCUGGGAGCACUUUCCUAAUACCUUUGUAGGUAAUGGGAUUCUCUAUUUGUGCUGGGUGACAAACGGACAGUGCCCUGGACAGACUGCCUACCCUCUGCAGAAUCUACCAAAAAGUAGAGUUUUCCCAUGAGACUGCUUGUGGUCCAUCUAAAAAUGAAAAAAUAAUCAGAGAAAAUGCGCAAAGCCUUUUCUAACUACAGUUAUGAAAUGAUGGCUUAAAGAGGUAUUUAGAAAAUAAGAGUGGAGUAAUACAGAAACAAAAUCUGAAGAAGAAAGUUUGCUUAGGAGCUGAUGCUCUUUGUCUACAAACAAGAGGGUAAGGAGCUGGAUCCAAUUGAAUUGAAUUGUUUUUGUUUGCUUGUUUGUUUUCUUCCAUUCAGUGCCUUUCAAACUGUUUUUUACUGGAUGAAGAAACUCAACCAAGAAAAUAUAUGUCGAUUCUUGUAUAUGGGACAAUAUUAGCUGCUGUGAUUUUUAAUACUAGCAUAAAAUAUAAGAAUCUUUUUAUUACUGUGAUAUUGUUUUUUCCUAAAUGAAUGCAUAGUGUAACAAUUGGUGUCAAAAAGCAUUGAAUUUUUUUCAGAUGGAUUAAGCUGGAAUAAUAAAGUAUAUCUAUGAGAUGAUUUCUGUAAACUCUGACUUGCUGAGAAAAAAGUGAAAAAGCUUUUUCUGGAAGAAACAUGGCAACUUAACCGUUAUUAAUCUGGACUAAAUAAAACAGGAAACUGCUUCUUUACAUUUCUAGUAAUUUUUUCUGCUUUUCCAAACAUUGUUAAGUUCUAUGCAACUUGUGCUAUUCAAGUAAAGAUGAUGUCAGUAAUAAAAUUACAGAAUCUAAUCAAGUGACUAUUUUUGCUUUAUUACAAAAUUUAUGUAUUUAAUUGGGAUGUUUAAUUGCUUAGUUUUUAGAACACUGAAUUUUUCUUUUUCCAGACAACAGAGUGAUAUUUAAUGAAGUGCUUAUAAAGAUAAAUACGAUGGUUCAUCAAAGAUAAAAUAGUCAUAAUAACAAGAUGGCAUUUGAGUCAAUGUGGAGUGGACUCUGCUUUGUAAAUUAUACUGCUUUUUAAAAGCAUGACCUAGGUAUUUACAAUGGGGACAUCUGAGAAGAGAAACUCAAGAGUCCUCAACUUACACAGCCAAGAAUACACAAUCAUGUAGGAGAACUUGCCCUCAGAAGCAUUUCUCUAUUGACAUUGCCAUUUCUUUUCCUCCAUCUAGUACUUCCAUUUGCUCUAUUUCACUAAAAAGUCACAGAAUUAAGAGUGGCUGCUGCAACUCACUGGGCUUUCUCUGCUUAAAAAACCUUAAUAUCACAUGGUAUUAAUACAGCUACAUUAAUAAUUGAAAGAUUCACUCAGCUGACCCUAUGAUUUUUCUAAUUAUUGUUAACUAUCUGAAUAUUUGGAAAUAAUUGUAUUUUUCCACUGACUUUUUCUCAUUGCCUUGGGUACUAGAAGGUUUUUUUUUUUUUUUUUUUUUUUUUUUUAGAUGGAGUUUCACUCUUGCUGCCCAGGCUGGAGUGCAAUGGCGCGAUCUUGGCUCGCUGUAACCUCUGCCUCCCAGUUCAAGUGAUUCUCCUGCUUCAGCCUCCCGAGUAGCUGGGAUUACAGGUGCAUGCCACCAUGCCCGGCUAAUUUUGUAUUUUUAGUAGAGACAGGGUUUCUCCACGUUGGUCAGGCUGGUCUUGAACUCCUGACCUCAGGUGAUCCGCCUGCCUCGGCCUCCCAAAGUGCUGGGAUUACAGGCAUAAGCCACUGUGCCCAGCCGGGUGCUAGAAGUUUUAACAUAUAACUUCAGACACAACUGAGUAAAUAGUUAGCUGUAUAUAUUUUAUUGUAUUGUUAUUUAUAUUAUGUCGGCUUUGUGUCAGAAAGGAUUUAAAGCACUUGUUUCAAGAAUUGGUAUGCUAUAUUUUUCAAAAUCUGUGUAUAAAAAUAAUUCCCAUAAGUACCACUGUAAUUUACUUUUCAUGUGUAUUACAAAAUCAGUUAUGUGUUCUGGUAAACAUUUUGAUCCCAAGAGGAAGCAGGAUUACAUUUAGAAUGUGACAAAUUUUAAAAAUUAAUUUUGUUGUAAAGAAAUCUUUAUAAUGAUAUGCCAUAAAGUUAUUACUAUGCAUGUAAGGCCGCAUACCAUAGUGAUUAAGAGCAGGUCCUUGGAGUUAGAGGCACAGUCUGAACUUGACUACAAAAGUUAUCAGCUGUGUGAUCUUGGGAAAGUAACCAUUCUCAGCUUUAGUUACCACAGCUGUAAAAGGUGGAUAAUAAUUAUAGACUCUGUCCUGUUGUUGUGGUGAACAUUUAGUGAGACGACUCACAUGAGGGGCUGGCAUAGGGUAAGUACUUACUCAAUAUCAGCUGUUCUCUUUGGCAUAGCUCUGUUAGAGUGGCAUGCCACAGUUACCUUCUUGAGAGCCACUAAGCGUGGGAACGGUAACAGUCCACAGAAUUUUUGGAGAUUGGUAUGAGGAGGCUGCAUUGGCUCCCAGCCCUCAGGGUUGACAGGGUGAAGGUAAUGGCUUCUGGCUGUCUUUAGAGCUCCCAAAAGAUAUGAGAAGAUGGUUCUAGUGAUGACAACCCACUGUUCUGUCAGUGGAAAUCUAGUUUUAUGCCAUCUUCAUCAUUCGUGGUGUAGUCUAUCGGUGCCUGACACAAACGUCUAGAGUGGGGAAAAUAACACCUUAAAGAAAUAGAAUAUCUUAGGUCCAUGAUUUGCCUGCUGUGUUUAUUAUGUACCCCAGCAGUAAAAUAUUUUAAGUAUAUUUAUUUGCAAAUCAUACAUCUGUACAUCUUUACUGAUAUGUACAUGAUAAACCUGUGCAAAAAAUAACCUAAAAAGGGGUAAGAUUAAAAUGAAGAAUUAGACAAAAGGUUUAAAUGUUUUAAGGUAAGAUUCAGCAUCAUCAACAGUGGGUAUAAAUCCAUACUUCAAAUAGCCUUGGUGGUUUAAAAAUCCUCUGGUUGAUUUACCUUUGGAUUCAUAUCAUCAGUGUUUCCGUCUUGUUUUGUGGCUGAGAAGAGGAGGAGCAGUGUCAGUUCUGCCAUUUUCCUGUCAAUGGUUUAUGUCUGCCUUCUUGGAAUCAUAUUUAAUGAAAGGUUCUUUGCAGGAAUAUUUUUAAACCCCUUGUUCAUUUGGUGAAGAUUAGUUUAGUUAAAACUGGAUUAUAUAAUAUAUUUCAAUCUAACUGAGCCAGACAAAUUGUAACACAUUUCAGGCCAUGUGUGCUUCUAAGAGGGCCACUGUUAACCCCUCUGUGGUCAAGAGCUCCCCCUUCCCUGAGGUUACCUUGUGUGCUCAAGGCAGCUGAGUAACAUAAGAAGAAGCAAGGGUGUUGAUGCCAAUGGUUACCCUAUUAGUGAACUCAUUUCUGAUUGUUUGUAUGAAAACAAAUAUGAUUUCUGUUAUAAUCUUCUGACACCCCAUUCCUUGGGGCACCACUGUCCUAGACUCUGAAAUCACUGUGGUUCCUGCCAUUUCUUGACCUUGACAUUCUGUGACAGAAUGAAGGAGACCUUAGGUUCAGUGGACUUCAUUUUCUAUAACUAGCUUUACUCUAUUGAUCACAUAGUGGUAUAGCUCUUCAGUGUUUGCAAAUCAAUGUUCACAUAUUUCUGUCAUUUGAACUCAGCAUCUUUAUAGGGCAGGUAGAGAAGGUCUGAUUCUGUCCAUUGUAAAGAUGGAAGAGAUGAAACCACCAGUGUUGCUGACUGCAGAUGGAAGAUAAUUGCGUAAGUUCACACAGCGGUAGACCUGGGUUUGAAUUUGUUUUUGAAAGCAAUAUCAUCCUGAUUCUUUUCUAUCAUGUUAACACAAUUUUUAAAUGAUAUUCAUAUUCAUCUGAAUGGAGUAGAGACAGACAGUUAUAUAGUAGUUGCAAGUUUAGCUUUUAAAGAAACUGCCAAACUGUCUUCCAGAGGCUGUACUAUUUUACAUUCCCAUUAGCAGUAUAGGAGUGAUCCUUUUUCUCCACAUACUUGCCAACAUUUCUUGUUGUUCUUAUUAAAACCAAACAAGUGGUGCUGGGAAUGCAUUAAGAGAAAACAUAUAUAUUAUUAAUAGAAUAAAUAAUAAUCAAUAGAUAAUGUGCAGGAAGGGGAUUUGCAUUUACGAAACAUCUAUUGUAUCCUAUGUUCUUUACACAUAUUAUCCCUUUAAUAUAGUUCUAUACUUGCAGGGACAGGUUUUGCAUGUAAAGAAAUUGAGGUUCAGAGAUGUUAAAUAAUUUGUCUAAAGUACACAGCAUUUAAAUUGUAGAGUUUAAACCAAAGGGAUCUGGUAUUAAAAAAUUCCAGGUAAUGUUAAAAUAAAACAAUGCAUUAAAUUUGAAAGUCUUUCUGUUACUUUUUGUUCCAAAUUGGAUCUCUGUCUUUGGCUAAAAAUCAACCAUGACAACAAGAAAUGUUGGCAAGUAUGUGGAGAAACAGGAUCACUCCUAUACUGCUAAUGGGAAUGUAAAAUAGUACAGCCUCUGGAAGACAGUUUGGCAGUUUCUUUAAAAGCUAAACUUGCAACUACUAUAUAACUCAGUUAUUGUACUCGUCAGCAUUUAUCUCAGAUAAAUGAAGACUUAAGUUCACACAGAAAUAUGUGCAUGAAUGCUUACAGCAGCUUUAAUAACAGUGAAAAACUGGAAACAUCUCAAAUAUCCUUCAAUGGAAAGACAAACUUAACCAUUCUGUUAACAGUUAAGCAUGUAUGGUUAAUCGUGGCACAUGGAAUACUACUUGGCAAUAAAAAGGAACACAUUGUUGAUAAGUGCAACAGCCUGAAUGGAUCUCCAGGGAAUUAUGCUGGGUGAAAAAAUCCAAACCCAAAAGGUAACACACUGUAUGGCUCCAUUUAUAUAGAAUUCUUGAAAUGACAAAAUUAUAGAAAUGGAGAAAAGAAAAGUGCUUAUCAGGGGUUAAGGAGCAGUGGGGUGGAAGAGAGGUGAGUGUGGCCAUAAAAAGGCAACAAAAUGGAUGCUUAUGAUAAUGGAAAUUUUCUGUAUCAAUGUCAGUAUCCUUGUUGUGAUAUUGUACUGUGUUUUUGUAAGAUGUUACUAUUGGGAGAGACUGGGUAAAGCGUGCAUGGGAUCUCUAUUAUUUCUUACAACUGCAUGAGGAUCUACAAUUUUCUCAAAAUAAAAAGCUUAAUAAAAAUGCCUACUGAUCUUCAGGAAGUUCAGUUCCCUGUUUUCCAUAACUGAUCUGAAAAUAGGGGAAGGACAAUUGAGAAUUUAGGAGUUGUAAACUCUGAGGCUGAUUUUCAGCGAACUACUCAAAUUAUUCUGAUUUUUCCCCUUGAUUCUUAUUAUGGAUUGUAGGACAUUCUUCCUACUAUUUUGGAGAAGAAAAAAUGCCACCUCUCUAUCAUAGGACUUCUGUUUUACAUAUGAUUUAAAAAUCUAUUAGCUGACUAAUUUACACACUAGAAGAUGAAACUUGGUUACAUUAGAUUCCAUUGCCACAAUUUAUUUUAAAAAUCAGAGUUCUCAUCUUUCUUGUUUCUUCUUCCUGCCUUACUUUAUUUUCUUUUUUCCUUAUUCUAUUUGAACCCAUAUUUUCCUAUAUUGUACUGUUUAGUCUAAAAACUAGUAAGCAUGCAUAUUGUUGAUUAAAUUAGCAAUUGACGCUCUUAAAAUGAGAACUAUAAAGACUCUUGAGCUUCCACACAUUAUGCUAUGCUUGCCAUAUGCUUGGGUGUUCUUAUUUUCGGAGAGAAGUAAUGGAGAUUAUAAAUGUUAUUUUUAAAAUUUACUGGUGAUUUGUUGAGAAGAUAAAGUAACAACACUAUUACAGAGGGUUGCUCUUGAUCUCCCAGGCCACCAGUGCAGUCACCGAGCCCUCUGCAAACACCUGAUAAUGCUGAAGAGUGUGUUAGUCAUUGUAGAGGAGCUGCUGUCAUGACAAAUAGGGGUUAAAUUGUGAGAAUUUCAGGAUAUAUUUUGGGGAAGGAUUAAAUAAAUCAGGGGACUUGCUGACAGCAAAUAGUAUCUUUGAUUUGAAACACAGAAUCAGAGAAUUGAGAUGAAUCCCAGGUGGUGGUUGGGAGUUUGAAAAAGUCCCAGUGAGUUGGCUGACUAAGUGUAGACUUCAUUUCAACAUCAUUAAAUAGUCUUUAAGUGGUGACUUAAUAAUUGUUGCCCCAAGAAAAGAUUUUGCUAAAUACAGAGGUGGAAUUAAGUAUAUUAAUCCAAGAAACAUUUUAUUUAAAUGAUUUUCCUAACAGUAAGGUUGGAAGGCCCUAGAACUGCUUCUAGGAGCUUGAAGUGCAUUUAAUAGUUAACUGUCAGAAUGAAAAAUGAAAUUUUAAAUUUCAACAAUGCAAUUAAGUUCUUAUUUUCUUAUGAUAGUGAAUAAUAAAUUUCAUUCAAGGACGCCAUUGGCAGAUGUUGAAAAGAACCAUUUUCACUCCACUAGCUUGCAGUGGACUAAGAGGUAGCAGGAAGGGAGAUUGGUACUACAGAUCCUGAAAAAACAAAACAACACAAAACAAAAUCCACACCACAAAUGGACACUUCCAGAUGCUUACCAACAGGAAGUGCCUUGGAGGACAAGGGCUGUGAGACAGGUGAACUCUAGGGAACAAGAAUUCCUAGUUCCAUGUCUGUUUACAAGAAUUUGUCAUGACUGGUUCACCUCACUUUAUAGUUUCCUCAGACCAAAGAGACAAAGAAAAAGCAAAAAACAAAAACAACAAAAAUUCUGAAACGAAUGGACAAUACAACCAAAACUUUAAUAUGAACCAAAACAAAAAUUGGGCUGAUUUUAUGAGGUUGACUUAAAGUCAGGAAAAGAAUGAUAAACUUUUGAGAGGAAGAAAGAAAUCAUCAAAGCCACGAGGAGCUCAAAGUGGUGUUUAAUAGCAGCUAUCACAUUGCGCCCGAGCCUUGACCACUUCUGACGCAGCUGUUUCGUUUUAAGAUGUUCCCAUUCCUGUUCCACUCACACAGUCCUCCACAGUGACCUGAGUGCACGCACCCAAGCCGGCAGGCCACUCUAGAAAACCGUAAACCCCUCAGAGAGUCACUGCAGGAAUAGGGGAAAUGGAAGUGAUGAAAUUCAAUAUAGCAUUUAGCUGAAUCAUCAUCUGAGGUUAAGCCCAGUGAACAAUUAGCAGUAUCGGGAGUCUCCUCGUACCUGUCAAAAUCGCACCGACGGGAUUUUGUGCAAAGUAUGUAUGUGUGUGGAAGUUGUUUUUUAUGUUUAAUAGCAAUGGACCUGGGGUAGUAAUUUAGAUACAACUUUUUAAAAAAAAUACUAAAGGGCAAGUGUGGUGAGAAGCUUCUUACUCAGGAGGAUCUUUUCAAACAUUGCAAAACAUCAGGCCUUGAAAUAAUUCAUUUUAUUAAGUAGCGCACUCUUGUCUUUUCAUUCACAAAAGGAGGAUGAUUUAUUAUACAGAUAAAUGCUUGCAUAGGAUGAUGAACACCUGUAGGAAUGCAUGAUAUUCUGGAAGUUGAUCAAGGUCCACUGUACACCAGUAAUUAGAGGUCAUGAUGAUGAUAAUAAUAAUAAUAAUAAUUAAUAAUGGCACAUACUAUGUGUCAGCUCCUGUUCUAACUUCGUUUCUCAUAUUAACUUAUUUAUUUUUCAUGAUUAGCCACUAAGAUACAAUUAUUAUCCCUGUUUUGUAGACAAGGAACUGAGUGAAGCUCAAAGAAGUAACUAGGAUCACACUGUCACACAGGCAGGAAUGAAACCCAUGCAGAUUGGCUCCUUAGUGUGCUCUCUGAUCUAUUAUCAUUCAUCACAUAUUUACUGAGCAUCUAGUAUAUGAAAGGUAUUAGGCUUUAUGCAGGCAAUACUUUAGCGAAGCCAGGGAGAUGUCUCUGCCUUCUUUGAGCUUAUAGCUUGGUGGGCAAAAAGCUAAUGGUUUAACUGUAUAAAAAACUUGAUGUUGUGAAAUGAUAUAUGCCAAUGUUUGCAUGGUAUGAUGAUUUUGAUUAAGCACCAUAAUAAAAAUAGGGAGCCUGGGUCUCACACAGCCUUGAUUGUCUUCUUCCUUCUGCUCCCCAGUGGAGUGCGUAGGAAGGUCACACCCUCAAUGUCAGGCUCCUUCACUGUUCUCAGUGAGUGUCUCAGGUUGUAGGCUACAUGAGCAGGUUUGCACCUGGAUAUGAUUGUGGCAGUAACAAUAGAUGUGACUAUACACAGUGGCAGUGGCAGUAGGGGUGGGAGUUGGGUGAUGGGAUGAUCUUAGAAUGCAGUGUUGGUAUUAACUCAGUUUUGUUUUGUUUUGAUGUACAGCCAGCCAUACGACUCUGGAAUAUGACUCUGGGUUUACCAACUUGGGGAUGGCCCGGGGAUUUAGGAGAUGGCCCCAAUGGCUCUCCUCUUUUUUAGAAAGGACUGUUCAAGUUCCUUUUUUUUUUCUUUUUAAACAGGAUCUCGUUUUGUCACCCAGAUCGGGGGCAGUGGUGUAAUCUCAGCUCACUUGAACCUUUGCCUCCCUGGCUCAAGUGAUCCUCCUGCCUCAGGUGUGAGCCACCAUGCCAGGCUAAUUUUUGUAUUUUUUGCAGAGACGGGGUUUCACCAUGUUGCCCAGGCUGGUCUUAAGCUCCUGAGCUCAAGUGAUCCAUGUUUCUGCCUCCCAAAGUGCUGAGAUUACGGUUUGAGCCACCACAUCUGGUUUAAGCUAUUUCUUCUAAAGAUAUAGUCACAUCUAUUAUCUUUGACCCCUGCCUAAGCAAUUCUGUUCAGAUCUUAAGACUAUUUCUUCCCGGGAUUCAAACUCAGAGUUAAGUAGAGUCAACUAUAUGAGGUAUAUGUGAGGUUAAUUUUUGAAACUUUUAUUUUUAAUUUCAUCUGGGAUCUCCUCUAGGGAAGACCACUUUAUGAUUAUGGGUUGCAUUCCCAAGUUCAGUUGAUUGAAUUUAUUCAUACAUUAUUUAAUAAAUGUUUAUUGAGACUGAAAAUAAACUUGAAAUCCUAGAAUUCAUUGGUUGUCUUAAAAAUUCUAAAUAUGAAAUGCUAACUUUAGCUUCAUGAGUAUUUAGAAUAGAAAAUAAAUAAUUCAAAAAUUGUUCAGGAAAAAAAUCCAUGAUUUAUUCUACUCUGGAGGAGCAUAUUCAAUUUAAAACAUACCGAUUCGUAUAAACUUAUUGGUAAUGAGGCGAUAUACUUUUUAUGAGAACAUAUCAAACCAUAGACAUUGAGAUCCAGCAUCUCCUGAGUGAGUAAAAUGUCAGGGUUUUAUUGAUACUAAUGAUAAUGGGAGUGACAUAUGUGCAUAGAGUAAGUCCAUGGUUGAAAGCCUGGCUGAUUAGGCGCUGCGUUCUGUGGUUUUUGCCACUUGUGUGUGAUUAAACCCUGCAGAAUAGAGUCUGUUGCCAUGUAUUUGGUUCGUGAAGAAAACUAGUAAAGUGAUAUUGAAUGAAUGAUUCAGUUUCUCAAAAGGGUAGACUAUUGGCCUAACACCUUCCUAACUUGGAGCUGUCAACGUGUUUAGUUUGGUUCUAAUGGGAGCUAGGCUGGAGAAGAGAAAAGUUUUGUGAGAAAGGUUAUGUGAUAUUAAUAAGAACCACAUUCCGUUUGAUGUUUUCUCAAAUGAUUUUUUUUAUCUUCCUAAGAAAUUGAAUGAUUCAAAAAUAAUAAAUCUUCCUUUUCUAUGGCCCACAAAUGAUCAACAUUUUGGAUGAUCAAAACAAUUUUGUCUUUAAGAUAUCACAACUUCUAGUGCCUCUUUAUUUGCCAGUGCUGAUUUACAGCAGAAAGUAUCACUUCAUAUUUUUUCCAAGCAUCAAAGUCAUGUGUUUUACAAAUAUUCACAAGUGCUUAAAAUCCAUGAACCUCUCUCUGUAUUCCUAUUUUUUUAUUCUUCUAUAAGUAUGUAUUUAAAUUGGUUAAACAGAUGGCUUUCUACUUUUGAAAAAAAAAAACCCACUAAGAAUAUUCACCUCAAGAUGGAGAACUCAUAGGUUAAAUUUCAUUCUGGAAUGCACGUUUACAACCAGGUAAUUAACCUUUGAAAAUGAGGGUACUCGAAGGAAACAAGGAAAAUCUUAACAAGAUGAUCUCACUAACGCUGGUGUGUUAGACUUCUCAGAAGUAGAGAUGCCCCAGAAGUUUAACAAUGAAAAACUUUAAAAUAUUUUUAAAAACAUAGUUAAUCUUUGUAGCUUUCCAGUUUUCGUCCUUUAUUACGAUAACCUUAGGAGGUAAACGCUUCAAGGGGUGUAUCCUUAUAAUCAUAGGAAUUGGUACACAGAUUUUGGUGGAAAGAUGGAGGUGUCAACAUUAACCAGUCAACAUAUAUUUGUUGACUGCCUACCACAUGCACAAGUCUCUUCCAUGCUUGCGAAGAGAUACAGUGAUGUGCAAUGUGUAGAAUCUGCCCUUCAUGAGCUUUUGAUUUAGUUAGUCUGAGAAGGAAUAGAUCAGUGAAAAGUUAAAAGGAAUAAUAGAUGGAGUGUUGAGGCAGUCCAUGAUUGUUAUCUGAGACAUUGAGUUUACAAUGCUAAGUUAAAAGAAUGAGAGAUCACUAUGGGAUAGAAUGGACAGGAAGAGUUCCUCUCCUUGAAGCUUGCAUUAAGCCAUAAAAGACAAAGCAAUUUUGGAAAUGCAGAAUUUGGAGAUAUGAAGAAAGAAUAAUUCCCAGAAAGGGAGAAGAGUUUUGGAGCCAGACAGAUCUGGGUUCAAAUCUUGGUUCUCUUGUUCUCUAGCUGUGUAAUCUUGGGAAGUUACUUAGCUUUUAUGGACAUCUUCUAUAAAAAGGAUAUGAUAGCGACUAUUUUGUUAAUUUUUUAGGAUUAAUUGAGAUAAUAUAUAUAAAGUGUUUUAAGCACUUGAUAAAAGGUAAUCCUCUCAGUUGGAGAGAACAUCCUAAACAAGUCUGGAGGAAGGAGACAGCCAGCCAUGUUCAUGGGACAAAAAGAAGACUAUUAUGAGUGGAGGGAAAGAUUAAGAGAAGUAGAGUGAGAUCACAUGGAAAGAUAAAUUAGGAUUAGCUUCAGCCAUUCACUUGUUUCUUCAUUUAAUACUUUAUUGCACUCUUUAUGUGGGAAGCUCUCUCAUGUGGGAAACCCUCUGCUCGGCAUGGAUAUGCAGAGACAAAGAAAACUUAGCCUUGGAUUUCUCUUGAAUGUCAGGUUAAGGAGUUGGAACUUCAUGCUGAGGAGAAUUAUAUCUUUCAAAAGUGGAGGAGCUUGAAAGUAGCAUUUUUGGAUAGUUAACAUGGAAUGUGAUUCUUGUGACCCAAGAUAUGCAUUAAGUUACCAUCUCCUAGUGGUUGAUGGUUAAUGUUGUGCCUGGAGAUGUGACCCAGAUUCUCUUGUAGGUCAUUCCUGACAGAGGGUCCAUUCCAAUGAGUGAGGAGGAGGAGCUUCUGGGCUGAACUUAAUCUCAUCUCCUGAAAUAAAGCAAUGACAUUGAAAUUUUUCAUAUUGCACUUGUGUUUACAUUUCUCAUCUAAUCUGAGAUAUUCCACGUUUGGUGAGUCUUGCUUUGGGCCUGCAGUCUUGGUGACCCUUAUUAGUUGCACUGGAAUAGCUGUCUAUUCAGGGAGAAGUAGAAUCCUGGGAAUCUGGUCUUCAGUGACUUUCUCCAUGAUCAUGAAUUUCAUGAGAGGAGGUCCCCUUCCUGUUAGUAGAUCUCUAUAGCAAGAGGUUCUGAGGCACACAAGCACACUGGAUACUCACCUACAGUUCUAGUUUAACUGAUGGAACAUAGGUAUUUCUUUCAUGAAACUUUGCCUGGAUAAACAGCUUCUGUAUCUUCUAGUGACAAAAUUUUGCCUCCUGUUUUCCCCUCUAGCUCUAGUCUUAAUCUCUACUUCCUUGUUCAGUCCAAGGCUCAGGAGAACCCAGAUCAUAUAAGAUAUGGAACCUAUUGCUUCCUAGGAUGUCCUUGUACACAGUGACUAACUGCUAAUUUCAAGGAUCAAUUUCUUUCUGGAGUUAGAAUCAUAUUAUAUUAUGUUUCAGAACUGAAAUAAAAUUCUUUUAAGGUGAUUAUAUUUUGGCUCUCAGCUUGGAAGAUGCCACUGGGGCAUGGCAUACAAGACACAUAACUUAUAGGAGGACCUCCUUUAAUGCCCAAGUGCCAGCUUCAUGCUUGUUGUUAUAUAUCAUUUUAUUCCUGGCUUUGAUGCCCACACACAGACAUAUAUCCACACAAAGUUCAAUCUAUAUAUUUUUUGUAGCUGUUUAGCUCAGGUGAUUAGGGCAUUGAGCUAAUGAGAACAAGGUCACAGUUUCAGUCUUUGUGUGGGCCAGCAAGGUUUGCUUUGUUCAGAGGCCACAGACCUGGUCCAGCCAGCUGUCCAGCACAUGUCUGCCCCAAGUCAUGAGAGGACGGGGCAGGAGUGUGUGGAUGGACAAGAGCAAAUCCAUCACCACCCUUAGAAAAAGUCAAGUCAAGCACGUGUCCUACUAAUGGGGGUCAAUAAUGUCUCAUUUAAAUGGGGCUGACAUUUUAUUACCUCUUGCUGAGAGGGUCUUUUGAGCACCAAAUUUAAACAUUGUCGCUUUUUUGUGUGAAUUUAUUUCUAAUAAAUGGAAGGUUGUACAAGACCUUAGAUGAUUACAGGUUUCCAAAUACAGAUUAAUGACUUCAAUAUUUAAGAAGUUGAUGUGAUAUUAAAAAAGAAAGUUCAGUAUGGCUAUUCAGUUAUCUUCCCUUAUUAAAAUCUGUUUUGGCUAAUGAAAUAAAAAGUUCAUAAGUUCUUCCGAGAGUAAGUGAGAAUCAUUGCCUUCAUUCAAGAAUGAAAACAUUAUUAUUAAACUCAUUGAUAAUGAGACCAUUAAAAGUUAGCAUGAAGCAGGUACAAUACAAUUCUUUAUUAUUGAAGUCUUCAGAUAUUACCCAGCCUACACAUCCCACCUUUCAUUUUUAGGCAAACAAAUUCCCCAAACUAUAUUUUUUUUAAAUUUAGCAUUAGGUCUUGUUAGGCUUCAAAUGGGAUCAAAACCAAUCCUUUCCAAAGUGUUCUACCCCAGCUGUUUCCCUCACCUGGGUGGUAGUGAGUAUAAAGGCAUUUGAUACAGAAGGGGGUGGUGGGGCAGAGAACAGAAAGGAAACUUGGUGAGAGAAUGAUGAAGAAUGAUAUAUUAGAGAUUCUUUUAAAAUUCAUUCAUUAAACAAAUGUAGCAUAAUGGAAAUGUCUAUUAAAUUUUUUGGCAUAGGUAAUGCACUUGCAAGGGUAAAAACAGAAAUAUGAGAUGGUAUUUUAUGAAAAGUUUUGCUCACCCCGCAUCCAUCAUGAACCCAAUUCUACUGCCCUUGUAUAGCCAUUUUUAUUAGUUUCUUGUGUACUCUUUCAGAAUUUCUUUAUGCCAAUAUAUCUUAAACUCUUUCCUUUUUUUCAUACAAAAAUUAACACCCUAUCAAUUUUGUUCCUGGCAGGGUGAGGUGGCUCACACCUGUAAUCCUAGCACUUUGGGAGGCCCAUGCGGGAGAAUUACUUGAGCCCAGGAGUUUGAGACCAGCCUGGGCAGCUUAGGGAAACCCUGUCUUUAUAAAAAAAUAAAAAAUUAGCCAAGCAUGGUUGGUGUGUGCCUGUAGUCUCAGAUAACUCAGGAGGCUGAGGCAGGAGGAUCACUUGCACCAGAAGGUUGAGGCUGCAGUGAGCCAUGAUUGCACCAUUGCACUGCAGUCUGGGUGACAGAGAAAAACUCUGUCUCAAAAAAAAGGUCUUGAGCUUGCUUUUUCUACUUAACAAUAUGUUUUGUAAAUCUUUCUGUAUACGCAAAGUAGCCUCAUUUUUCAUAGUUGUAUAUCAUUCUAUUGAUGUGCCACACUUUAUUUAUCUACCCCCCUAUUGAUGGACCUUCAUAUAGUUUCUAAUAUUUUCUAUUACAGACAACAAUGUAUUGAAUUACUUUGGAAUGCAUUAGGUAGAAAGCAUUCUUCUUUCUUUAAACAUUUGCGUAGCAUUCCACUGAAUGGCUAUAUCAUAACUUAUUUCUCUAGCCCCCUAUUGAUCGUCAUUGAGUUUCCAAUCUUUUAUUUUUAAAGACAAUGUCAUAAUGAAUAACUUUAUACAUGUAUUAUCUUAUAUAUGUGGAAUUAAAUUUACCAUGUCUAGAUAAUUUUAUUUGAAUGCAAUUAAGUAUGAUAUCAAAAAUUAUAAAAUCAAAACUGCAGUGAGAAUUCAUCUUACCCCAUGUAAAAUGACUCUUAUCCAAAAGAGAGGUGAUCAUGAAUGCUGAUGAGAAUGUGGAGAAAGGGGAACCUUCAUACACUGUUGGUGGGAAUGUAAAUUAGUACAGCACUAUGGAGAACAGUAGAGAUUCCUCAAAAAACUAAAAAUAGAACUACCAUACAAUCUAUCAAUCCCACUGCUGGGUAUAUAUCCAAAAGAAAAGAAAUCAGUAUAUUGAAGAGAUAUCUGCACUCUCAUGUUUAUUACAACACUAUUCACAGUAGCCAAGACAUGGAAGCAACCUAACUGUCCAUCAACAGAUGAGUGGGUAAGGAAAAUAUGGUACAUAUACACAGUAGAAUAUUAUUCAGUCAUAAAAAAGAAUAAAAUAUUAGUUGGGCAUGGUAGCAUGCACCUGUAGUCCCAGCAACCAGGGAGGCCUAGGUGGGAGGAUUGCUUCAGUCCAGGGAAGUCGAGGCUGCAGUGAGCCCUGAUCACACCACUGCACUCCAGCCUGGGCAAUAUAGCGAGACCCUGUCUCCAAAAGAAAAAAAAAAAGAAUACAGAAUGAAAUUCUGUCAUUUGCAACAACAUGGAUAAAACUGGAGGACAUUAUGUUAGGUGAAAUAAGCCAGGUACCGAACGACAUAUUUCACAUGUUCCCACUCAUAUGUGGGAGCUAAAAAUUAAAACAAUUGAACUCAUGGGGAGAGUAGCAUGAUCAUUACCAGAGGCUGGGAAGGGUAGUGGGAGGAAGGAAUAAAGUAGGGAUGGUCAGUGGAUACAAAAACACAGUUAGAAGGAAUAAGAUCUAGUGUUCUGUAGCACAACAGGGUGACUAUAGUUAACAAUAACUUAUUGUAUAUUUUAAAAUAACGAAAAGAGUGGAAUUGGAAUGUCCCUGGCACAAAGAAAUGAUAAAUGCUUGAGGCAGUGAACACCCUAAUUAUCCUAAUUUGAUCGUUACACAUUGUAUGCCUUCAUGAAAACAUCACAUGUGCCCCAUAAAUGUAUACUGUUAUCAUGUACCCAUCAUAAUUUUAAAAAAUAGAAAAGAAUUAUCACAAUUAUUUUAAAUGAAGAAGCACUAAGUAGGAAAUAAGGUACAAUUUAAUUCAGAAUAGCUUUCCUUAGUAGUGUUCAACCUACUGUACACAUCAACAACACGCCCUUGCAGUUAACAUUGUUGCUGGAUGUUUACUGUUAUGUGUGACCAGCUGACAUGUCCCUCUAAAGAAAGAGGAUUUAAAUAAGUCAUGUAUGAAAGACUGGGUAAAGGUGAGACACUGUAAGACCUAGAUUAUUUUGGGGCUGUAGCAAUCAGAUUAGCUAUUGAGUAUUCAUUCAUAAAUUCAUUCACUUCACUGAGUCAUCCACUUCUUGUCAGAUUCUGUAUUUAUUCAUCUCCUAGUAAGCUACUCAUUGUGCUAAAAUGCUGGUAAACAGAAGUACAAAGCACCAGUUAUAACUCACAGUCUUGUAGAGGAAUUAAGAAAUGGACAGGAAACAGUAAGGGUGCAUUGUAGGUAUCUCAAGAAUGAUAUAAAGUGUUAUGGCAGAUCUAAGGAGGAAGACAUGACUUUCCAUAGAUAAUGGAUGGUGGCAUCUGUUCUGGAGUACCAGAAAAUUAGAGUAACAAAAACACAGCAGGAUAGAUUUUCUUACAAUGCAGUGAUUCAUACAAAGGCUACCUUGACUGUUAGUUUGUGACUGGAAACUCUCAGUCAGGGCUGACGGAGGGAGUCCUGCCCCUGCCAGCUGUUCACCUUUCCCUGGUGCUGGGGUUGACACUUCACAUGCUCACAUAGUCUGGUUCUGUGCUGUCUACUAGGGUUGAGUGUGCUGCUGGGCAGAGAAUUUUGGCAUUUCUCCAGAUGCACAUGAGGGGCAGACCGCCUCAGCAGUUGCUAAUGACCCAAAGAAGCCUUCUUUCAUGACUUAUUUUGUCCCCUCAUUUUAUUUUUUGAUGUAUUUUGGUGAGCUGAGCUACUACCUUCUCAGGCAGUCCCAACCUCAGAAAAUUAACCAUGUAGCUUUCUCAUAUCUGACAUUGCAAAUUGAGGCAAGGUCGCAUGCUUUCUGACUACCUGACUGCCUGGGCAUUUCUUUCAUGCAACUUGUUUAAGCCGCCCAUCCUGAUCCCUGUUGCUAAGCCACCAUGGCUGCAUUUGGACGCAGUUCUUCCCAGCUUUGCCGCAGCAUAACUGUGGAAAGGAUCUUGAUGAAUUUGGACCUGGGGAGGGACGUGGGAGGAAAGAGAAAUGGUCUAAUGGAAGAAAGUGAACAAACAAAGACAUGCUCACAGAAAACUGCCAAGUGUGAGGGGUGGGAAAACAGAGUUCAGCCUGGCUGAACGUAGGAAUCUGGAUGGGAAUGGUAGAUCUUAGGCUCCUGUUUUUCAGCUUGCCGCUCUAGUGAUGAUUCUUGUAGAUAUAUUUUUCCAAGUAAAAGGAGCAUUUCCAAGUGACUGUUGUUUAAAAUAAAGUACAUGUUGCAUUUGUAAUGUAUGAAUUAUGAGUAUUAAAACUGACAAUGAAAUGAGAGUAAUAUACUUAAUUAAAAUUAAUUAGAUCUGUUGGCACACCACUAGAAGGACAAAUAUGAUAUUUAAUAUAUCACUCUACUCCAGACCUGUCCAAUUAAACUUUUGGCCAUGAUAGAAACGUUCCAUAUCUGUUGUCCAAAAACAGUAACCCCUAGUCACAUGUGGCUAUUGAGAACUUGAAAUGAGGCUAGUGCAACUGAAAACUGAAUUUUAACUUUGUUUAAUUUCAGUGAAAUUUAAUUUGAAUUUAAAUGGCCCCCUGUGAGCUAGUAGCUACCGUAUUGGACAGGGAAGCUCUAAACAGGGUUCUAAACAUGUGGAAUUAACAGCACUUAAGAGCUGGAGUAGACCUUAACCUUUACCAGGUCUCAAACUUUGAUUUACAAAUGGGGAAAUGGCAGCCAAGAAGGUGAAACACCUUGUCCAGAGGCACACUAGUAGGAAUUAGCAGAACUGGAACCUGGUGUUUGGAUGUCCUGGCUCCCGGCCUGGGGGACUCUUGAUUCCAACACGCUCUCUCCCAGUUAUGACAGAGGGCUGUGGCUGGACCCAGGUAAGGAUGCUGGGUUGGUAGAUUGAGAAAAUAAGGCCACGCGUAGUCUUUCAAAUCAACCAAGCAAGAGAUAUUUGCUGUACAUGGUGGCAGACACUGAGAUCAACAGAGAGGUUGUUGUGGUGUGGGGGAGGGCCUGUAAAAUGGCAUAAGGAGUCUACUGGGAAAAACAGGAUAGUGAUAGAUUAUAUAUCUCUAUAUUUAUCUUUCUAUAUAAUCUACCCUGUUUUCCCAAAUGGAUUUCCCAAAUGUGUGUCACUUGUAUAUCUGGCUGUCACUGGUACAAGGUAGUCCAAAUGGACAGGGUACGCAAACCCCAGACAGGGCUAUGGAAAUUUAGGGAGAUCUGUGUGGGUGAGUGGUCGGGGAGAGCUUCAGGGAUAGGACAGGCUUGACUUAUAUUAGAUAGUGUAACACAGAAGGUAAAAUACAACUUUAGGAUCAUUCAAAUUUAACAGUGGUUGAUAUGAAACAAACUUCUUAUCCAGAGUUGGUUUUGUAUUCUUGCUUUCUGUAUUAAUUAUAUGUGUUUACUGAUUCACCACAAUCAGCUAUACUGUCCCUAGAAUUUUAAAAUGUGAAAAGAAUGUGGUUUGUUUCAGGACUAUUUUUCUGUAGAAUGGUGAUUGUAUAGAAUUAAUUAAUAUUACAGUUGCAUUAUUAGACCACAGUAAGGUAAAUGGUCACAAAAGACCAUACAUUUAAAUCAGGAGAAAAGUAAUGGCUAUUGUUAUCCUGUAGGCAUAGCUGGGAAAUCAUAUCCUUACUUGGCUUGCUAAAGUCUUAACCUAGUACUACAUGACAGUAUCUCCAGAGAUUUUUUUUUCCCAUUCGUAGGCACAACAAAUGAGACCCAAGUGCUCAUAGAACAUUCCAAAGAGUCAACAGAGAGAAGUGGAAAGUAUUAGAAACAUGAUUGUGUUUGCAAAGGGAGACAUAAAC
RNAcentral lists this long non-coding RNA (21561 nucleotides) under Homo sapiens (human). RNAcentral describes it as "non-protein coding HAND2-AS1:70". Lineage: Eukaryota; Metazoa; Chordata; Mammalia; Primates; Hominidae. The record is from RNAcentral.